RNAcentral lists this ribosomal RNA (365 nucleotides) under uncultured archaeon. RNAcentral describes it as "bacterial SSU rRNA". It matches the Rfam family "Archaeal small subunit ribosomal RNA", at positions 19 to 357 of the family's 1478-position model. The record is from RNAcentral.
GGACCCCACUGCUAUCGGGAUAGGACUAAGACAUGCUAGUCAAGCGCUCUUUAGCUAUGAAUAGAGUGCGGCGCACAGCUCAGUAACACGUGGCUAACCUGCCCUAGGGACAGAGACAACCCCGGGAAACUGGGGCUAAUCCCUGAUAGGUGAAGAACUCUGGAAUGAGUCUCCGCCCAAAAGACGCUUACAUCAUGCUGUAGGCGUCGCCUUAGGAUGGGGCCGCGACCGAUCAGGUUGUUGGUGAGGUAACGGCUCACCAAGCCAUUUACCGGUACGGGCCGUGAGAGCGGGAGCCCGGAGAUGGGCACUGAGACAAGGGCCCAGGCCCUACGGGGCGCAGCAGUCGCGCAAACUUUGCAAUA